RNAcentral lists this ribosomal RNA (253 nucleotides) under uncultured bacterium. RNAcentral describes it as "partial 16S ribosomal RNA". It matches the Rfam family "Bacterial small subunit ribosomal RNA", at positions 524 to 776 of the family's 1533-position model. The record is from RNAcentral.
UACGUAGGGUGCAAGCGUUAAUCGGAAUUACUGGGCGUAAAGCGUGCGCAGGCGGGCUUUUAAGCCAGACGUGAAAUCCCCGGGCUUAACCUGGGAAUGGCGUUUGGGACUGGGAGUCUGGAGUACGGCAGAGGAGACUGGAAUUCCUGGUGUAGCAGUGAAAUGCGUAGAUAUCAGGAGGAACACCGGUGGCGAAGGCGGGAUCCUGGGCCAGUACUGACGCUGAGGAGCGAAAGCGUGGGGAGCAAACAGG